Molecule: ribosomal RNA, 320 nt
Filed under: uncultured eukaryote
Lineage: Eukaryota
Description: partial 18S ribosomal RNA
Rfam family: Eukaryotic small subunit ribosomal RNA
Source: RNAcentral
CCCUUAGAUGUUCUGGGCUGCACGCGUGUUACAAUCGGGAGUACAACAAGAUUGCAAAUCCUAGUGGAGGAGUGGUUCUUCGAAAUUUUCUGAAGACUGGGAUAGUUGAUUGAAAUUAUUCAACUCGAACGAGGAAUUCCUUGUAAUUGUAAUUCAUUAUAUUGUAAUGAAUACGUCCCUGCCCUUUGUACACACCGCCCGUCGCUCCUACCGAUUGAACGAUCCGGUGAAUUAUUUGGAGUAGCUCUGGAAGUUGCAGAACUUCCUAUGUCACGAAAUUUUGUAAACCUUAUCGUUUAGAGGAAGGAAAAGUCGUAACA